Molecule: unclassified non-coding RNA, 357 nt
Filed under: Zea mays
Lineage: Eukaryota; Viridiplantae; Streptophyta; Magnoliopsida; Poales; Poaceae
Description: misc RNA Zm00001eb384350
Source: RNAcentral
CCGAGAUAGCAUAGGCUGUGUCACCACCGCCAUAGGGAGUGCCACCACCUGCCCUCGAUGCCAUAAUGAAGGCCCUCUCAAAGGUCACACAAUAGGUUCCUCAGUGGGUGCCAUGCCUAGGGGCUUUCCCUACGAGAUGUCGUGGAAGGAAGGACAUGAUGUCACUUCUGAUUUACUCAGCCACCAGCGCUAUACCCUCAACCACCACUGCUCCAUAGAUCGUGCCACAGACCAUCCCACUGCUCGCCACCUCACCCCUAGCUGCCUCACCAUCAUAGUCAUUGCUGCCCAACUUCUCGAUGCCACUAGCUCUGGUGUUCCCAUAGUUCUCCGCUCCAGCACCGCCACUUGCAGCAG